This 1269-nucleotide long non-coding RNA is filed under the name Capra hircus (goat). RNAcentral's name for it is "lncRNA (ENSCHIG00010002692.1)". Lineage: Eukaryota; Metazoa; Chordata; Mammalia; Artiodactyla; Bovidae. The record is from RNAcentral.
CAUUCGAGACACAGAUGGACACCCCUGUGUGUGGAGCUCUUCACCAACACACACCUCUGAGUUAUGCACAGCAGUGGAGCAUCUUUUCCCAAAUCUCACUUUUAUGUUGAGGUUAAAUUCAGCAAACAUAAGCUUCUGUUACUGUGGGCCUCUAAAUGCUUCUCUCACAGAGUGCUCUGCUAUUUUUGCUUUUAUCAAAUGGAUAUCUUUUUUCAAUAAGAGGAAAGUUCAAAAAACUGCAGACAUGUGGUUGAACAUAAAGGUUUCUAUGACCCAACCACCUACACAAAUUUGAUCAUGAAGAAAACUUGUGUGUGGCUAUAGAUUGAGCUUGAUAAGAAAACAGUCACAUACAAAUGCAGAUUGUAGAAUACUUUUUACUACAGCAAAAACUGCUACUGAUUUAUUACAAAACAAAUUCCAACUAAUUCCAGCUAAUAUGCAAUAAGCUGAUGCCUAGUUGCAUUUGAGACAGAGGGAAAAACUAGAAUCCAUUCAAAGACGUACAAAUGAAUACUAUUUUUGCAAAUGCUCUAUUUACAUAAAGGCACAUGUUCAACUUUAAGUUUAGAAGAUCUCAAGAAAAAAAUAACUCUUCCAUUUACUAUGUAAGUAAUAAUCUCAGAAAAUGGACAAUUAGGCCAUUCCAUGACAGAGAAUAUUAGCAUUUAACAAACUUGUCUAAAAAUAUAAGCAGUAAAUACUUUUAGCACAGCUGGCUUCUAAAGACUUCAAUAUUAACAAACAGACUUAAUAUUCUUGAUUUACUACAGAUUUUUCCAUCAAGUGAAAUAGUCAUGAGGAUGAUAAUUGGGCCCACAUGCCUCCCAAGGACACAGUUCUGUAGUGUGAUAGGGAGAAAGUCACAGAGCCCCACAGGACAGCCGUCCAUACUGCAAGCCUUAGCCUGCAGUAUUGGAAAGAUUCUGUUUCCUCAAUUCAACUAAAAAUAAACAAAUGGGGGUAUGUGCAGUCUCAGUGUCCCCAUCACAGAUUUUAAACCAGAAAAAAACUCACCAGUUACUCAAAACGUACCAAAGAUUGACUCUUAAGAGUAUUUUUACAGUUCACAUCCAUCAAGCUGAAGGACAUAUCUUGAAUAGUAAAAAAUGAAACCAUUAACAUUUAUUCAAACUAAGGUCCUAUGAGAGUAAAUGUAUAGUCUAUGAUGUAAAGAGAAUGUAAACAUUUUUAUGUUAAGUCAUUUCAAUAACAUGUCACCAAUAGGAUCAGUGUUCACACAGGAUACUGGUGUCAGUUUCAACAGUA